Molecule: long non-coding RNA, 6622 nt
Organism: Orcinus orca (killer whale)
Lineage: Eukaryota; Metazoa; Chordata; Mammalia; Artiodactyla; Delphinidae
Exons: 3
Source: RefSeq, a predicted model, not a curated record
CCACGUACAAGUUUUAGUGGCCAACCCUAAAUCCCAGUAUUGACUGCGGGGCAGAGCGGGCAGCCAGCCACCCGAGGGUGAGGUCACGUCGGAACAGACCCGAAUUCCGGACCUGGACUUAUUUGCUUUCCAUUCGGGAACCCCACUGUCAUCGCGCCCUUCACAACACCGCUCCCAGCAAACCACGGGGCUUUACAAUGACAGGUCUCUGCUCGUGGGAAAGGAUUUCUCUUUUCAGUACCUCACCACCAGAGGCAGUGCCCUAGAAAGGCGCGUCGGCGCCUAUUUGUUUCCUCAGCACAGCUGAGAAGGGAAAGCGCAGGACCAAAGCGAAGGAGCGCUCCGUUCCCGCGGACAAUUGUGCCUAAUUGCUCGGGAGGAGGCCGCCGCGCUUUCCGCCUGAAGCCCCGUCGAACUCGGGGCCCCAGGCCCACCGCCAAGCGUGACACCCGCUCCACUCGUCGCCGAAGGAGGCGGCCACACUGCCGCAGACUCAGCCCGGACCUCGCCAGGUCUCGGGGGAACUGGGUUCCUCCCUCUGCACGGCGUCGGCGGUCACGUGGGGGCGGUCACGUGGGAGGGCAGUCACGUGCCCUGCGUAAAUCCGCGUCAGGCGGCGGCGCUGCUGCCUACCCCUAGCGGUUGCGUACGUUUCGCAUGUAGUGGCGUGGGUCGGGGACCCUGGUGGCCGCGCUGGGGACAGGGCGAACUCCGGGCCUGCCCCCUUCGUGGGGCCGCGCUGAUUGAUGCCCCUGCCGUGCAGACGCUGCGCGCUCCCGGUCGGGCCCCAGGUGCCCUGCUCCACGCAGGGCACAGGAUGGGUGGGGUCUCCAGCUUGUGCAGUUUGGAGCACCCUUUUUAAGAAUACGGAAUUAGAUACGAAGGUGAAUGUUGAUAGGAAUAAGUAACCACAACAAACUGCAAAUUAUACACAGCUGAUUAAUAUCACAAACUUUAAACACUUAAAACGUUUCACUAGGACUACCUUGGUGGCGCAGUGGUUAAGAAUCUACCCGCCAAGGCAGGGGACACGUGCUCGAGCCCUGCUUGGGGAAGAUCCCACAUGCUGCGGAGCAACUAAGCCUGUGCACCACAACUACUGAGCCUGAGCUCUAGAGCCUGUGAGUCACAACUACUGAGCCUGCGGACCACAACUACUGAAGCCUGAACACCUAGAGACCGUGCUCUACAAGAGAAGCCACUGCAAUGAGAAGCCCGUGCACCGCAACAAAGACAUGUGGGAUCUAGUUCCUUGACCAGGGUUGGAACCUGGGCCCCCUGCAUUGGAAGCGUGGAGUCUUAACCAAUGGACCACGAGGGAAGUCUCAAUUUUUUCUAAAUUUUUGAAUGCAGACCUUAAUUACUCCUUCAUAUGGGAAUGAUUUGGUAAUACUGUUUAUAUAUGGUAAAUAGAUAAUUCAGUCUUUUCUUUAGCAGGGUUAAUCAAAUUUUGCUUUUUAUUAUUAAUAGUUUAGAAAAGAUUGUCCAGAGUUGCGUUCUUUUGAUGAUGUUACAUACUUUUUUAGGGUUGCCAUCAGACUUGGCCAAACCUAUCCUGUAUGUCUGGAGGCAGGGACCCACCUCUAAUCCGUGGUGGCCUCACAGUGACUUGUUAGGAGCUUUGUGUCAUGUAUUUCAUGUCAGACCAGGAAGAAAUGGAAAACACUUUCCAUGUUUGCUUUCCUCAUCUUCACUAAUUGGAUCCCAUACGUUCUGUGUGUUUCUGACCUCCUUACAGAAGGAGCCUACUCUGUUUUUAUGUGAUUUGUGUGUGGCCCAAGUAAACAUGUUCUUGUGCUUUGUGCAGUCUUCAUGAUUUUUGACAGUUCUAAAGACAUCCACUGAUGUGAAUGUCUGAUGUAAGUGAUGUCUGUCUUGUUGAAAACUACACAAGCAAAACAAAUACAGGCAAUGUUAGUCUUGGAAUAGGCUAGUCAACAUCCUGUAGCAGUUUUCCUGUUAAAAAGUAACUUUCAAAUGUUUUAAGAAACAUCUUUUUUGUCCGUUGUACCUUGAUUCUUUGUAAAUGGAAUCAUAAUUUUGAACGAAUGAAUUUUUCAUUAAACAGGGUUGGGGGAAUUAGUGUUCAUUCUAACAGGUUUAGUGAAGUAAUCAAUGAAGUAAAAAAUCAGUGGGUGGGGCCACCUGGUGUGUCCUGCUGAGUGGACUGGUUGUGGUUUCCCUUUCUGUUACCAUCAUCUUCCUUCUGCUUUUUAUUCCUUCUGUUUUUUUUUGUUUGUUUGUUUUUUGCUUCCUGUUUAGGAGUGUUCUGACUCUCAUAAUACCUUUCAUCUCUGUGUUGUCAUUUUCAUUACCCAUAUUUUCUUAGCUAUCAUGAUUCUUUCCCUUCAUGAUUUUGACCAAUACCGUUUUUAGUUUCCAUUGUGUUACAUGUGUUUUGAUAUUUUGAAGUUUCUACCAGACUUUUUCUUUUGUUUUUUUUUCCCCUCCCUUCCAGUAAACUACUUCCCUCUGUUUGAAUUUUGAUAUGAUCGGUAAUUCUUUAAAAGUAUACAAAGUUAAUCUGAAUUUAAGGCAAGUACAAGUGCAACUCAGAUGCAUUUUUUAUUGCCCCUACGUGUACUGAGCUCCAUGACUAUGAAAUAAAAUAACUGUACACCACAUACAAUGAUUUACAGGUGACUGUGUGAAGGAGUUCUAUCAUAGGAAAACACAUUUCUUCAGGCCCUUUUGCUGUGUCAUAUGAAGGUUGAAAUGAGUUCAUACUGACGUUUCCAGCUCUAGUCCAGAACCACGUGGUUUCCUCCAGCCUUUCCUUGCUUCUCUGUAACUCACUCUCCAACAUGAGAAAUCUUCUUUGCCCACUUUUAAAAAUUGUGGUACUUGAUUUGUUAGAGGCAAGAUCCCUGUCUUCUCAUCUUUUUAUUUCCUAAAUGAAGCUCAGUGUCUCCUACAGAUGUAGCUCUGCACCGAUGUUGAAUUGACAUGUUUAGCUUUGAUGUUUACCAUCAGAAUUCUCUACAAAAUAGUUGCCUCAGCUUCCAUGCUCAUGUUCUGACUGCCUGCUUCCUCUCUAUUUCUCAUCCCUAACCCAGGGCCAGCAGGAUGAGGCAAGGUUUUCAUCUGGGUCCUCUGUGCUUCACAUAAGCUCAGAGAAGUUUUUUGCAUGGGCCAAUGGACAGUAACUGAUUGGAAUAAUCAUUCACUCAUUAUGUCACUUUCCCAAACUUACUCUGCAUCAGACCAGUGCCAAGCCUAAUCCAAUUCCAGACUCAGAGUCCUGUUGGGAUAACAUGUACGCAAUGACUGUCCCAGACUGCAAGCUGGGAACCAGGUGGGUACCAAGCGGCUUCGAGGGAGGAGCAGUUCUCACUGCAUGGCAGGUGGCAGGGGCGGCUGAUGGAGGUGCCAUGGGAGCCGGGUCUUGCAUUUGGGUGGCUGGGUGAGCAUGUGAGGGGAGGGGGACCCGGGGAAGGAGGCUGGCCAUGUGUGAGGGAAUGUGGGCUGCUGGUCCAGGUGAGGAGUGAUGAAUCAAGGCUGCCUCCCCUCCCUGUCCCGAUGAAGGUAGGGCCCGGCUCCCCUUUGCUCCCCGUGGGCCUGGGCAUCCAGCACUGGGCCCAGCAUGAAGCUGGAAAUAGGAAAUGUUUGAUGAGUGGACAAGCUACUGAAUGAAGGAAUGAAAGAGUGAAUGCAUGAAUGGGCGAUGAGUAGCCCAUGAGUCAAAGUUAGGCUGGAGGUUUAGAGCUCAGGAGAUGGGAGGACCAGAGAUGCCCAGACAAAUUCUGAGAAGCCACAGCCUGGGUUGGGUGGGGCUGGGGCUGGGGGCCCUGAGUUGAGGCAAUAAAAGUUCCUCUAUUCAGAAAUACCCUUUAGCUAUUGAAUCCUUGUCUGUCCUACUGUCUGUGUUUUGCACGUUUUCCAUGUGGGCUUUGGGGGACACUAACCUCAGCACAGAGAUCCAGAAAGGUCACCUGGAGGAGACUUGGCUGGAUGGCGAUGCCAAGGGCAACCGAAGAUGGGUCUGCAUGUGGCUGACCAUGGGACACCAGUCACUACAAGGGGCACACGCCUCACACCUUCAUCCCCCGCUCCCAGGCCAUUCCUGGUGUUCUUCUCAAACUUAGGUAAAUGUGGUCUGUGGUCCAGUGGUAAAGAAUCUGCCUUCCAAUGCAGGGGACGUGGGUUCGAUCCUUGGUCAGAGAACUAAGAUCCCACAUGCCGCAGGGCAACUAAGCCCACGUGCCACAACUACUGAGCUGUCGUUCCUCAACUAGAACCCGUGUGCCACAAGCUACAAAGCCCACAUGCCCUGGAGCCUGUGCGCCACAACUAAACUAGAGAAAAACCUGGACACCACAGCUAGAGAGAAGCCCGCACACCACAACCAAGAGCCUGCAUGCCUAAACGAAGAUCCUGAGUGCCACAACUAAGACCCGACGCAGCCAAAAAUAAAUAAAUAAAUAAUAAAUCUUUUAAAAAAAUGUGGCCUACAGCACAGAGGCACACAAGACAGCUGGAGCAGGGCCCCCCUGCCCCAGGGCACAUUCUGAGGGCUGCCUUUCUGGGAGCAUUGCCUUAACUCAGGAGUAAAUAGAACAGCUGGCACACAGCAUCUGGCAUUGAGUGAACAGGCAAGAAGAGUUACUGACUGGAGGAGGGAGAGGAGGUGGGAGAUGGUAGAGCAGAAGGAUCGUCAGCAAUUGGAGAUGGAGAGCAAGCUGCAAUUUCACUCACAUUGGUGGAAUGCACUUCGGAAUCUUUGAAAGUUUGCAACUUGAAGGUUCGUAUUUAGGGGACUUACUGUACACAUAGCCACAUAUGUAAUGGCUUCUGUGACGUGUGAAGAACUAUGUAGGGACACACCCAAGGACCCCCUUCCUGCCCCCAGGUGUACAGAGAGUGAGAACACGCCUCCCCCUCUUUCCAAAGCUCCAAAGGGAGGUCUUUGGAGAAGAGGUUUUGGUGGAGGAGGAUUAGAAACACACUUUCAGGUCCAGUUAAUAUCAGCAAAUUUAAGGGUAUUCUCAGUAUUUUCUUUUUAAAAUUGGUAUUAUAAGAUUUAUCUCUGAAGCUCUCAUUUUUUAAAAAAAAUUUAUUUUAUUUGGCUGGGUUGGGUCUUAGUUGUGGCACGUGGGAUCUUUGUUGCAGCGUGAAGACUUAGUUGUCCUGCAGCAUGUGGGAUCUUAGUUCUCUGACCAAGGAUCGAACCCACGUCCCCUGCAUUGGAAGGCAGAUUCUUAACCACUGGAUCACCAGGGAAGUCCCUGAAGCUCUCAUUUUUUUAGAAUGAAAUUCAACUAGGAAUGUGUGUAUUAUUCACCUAUAAAACUCACUUUUUCCAAAAAUUAGACAGGGUUUAAAACAUUUUACCAAUUUUUAACUUUUAAAUGACCUAAUUAUGUUUUCCAACCUUAAUUAAAAUGUAAUUUUAAAUUGCAAUGACAAAAGUGAGACAUGCUUUUUAUUGUUUCUUAUUAUGGAAAAGGGCAGAAUCCUAAGAAGUGGGAGUAGCUCAUAUGAGCAGCUGGGAGAGUGUUGUUCUGGGCCUUUCCUGGUGAACAGGUGAUAGAUCAGCCCUGACCAUGGGGCACACACCACAUCCCCAUUACCACACCUGGGCAGAUACCCCCUUCAUUUCCUUUUUUUAAAAAAUAUUUAUUUAUUUAUUCAUUCAUUCAUUCAUGCAUGCUGCACCAGGUCUUAGUUGCAGCAUGUGGGGUCUUGUUCCCGGACCAGGGAUCGAACCUGGGCCCCCUGUUGGGAGCGCGGAGUCUUACCCACCGGACCACGAGGGAAUUCCUUUUAAAAUAUAUAUAUAUAUAUAUAUGUUAUUUAUUUAUUUGGGCACCCCUUCAUUUCUUUCUUUAAUUUUAAAAUUUAUUUAUUUAUUUUAAUUAAUUUAAUUAAUUUAUUUUUGCCCGCAUUGGGUCUUCGUUGCUAUAUGCAGGCUUUCUCUAGUUGCGGUGAGUGGGGGCUACUCUUCGUUGUGGCGCACAGGCUCCUCAUUGCAGUGGCUUCUCUUGUUGCAGAUCCCCAGCUCUAGUCGCGUGGCCUUCAGUAGUCGCAGCUCAUGGGCUCAGUAGUUGUGGCUCACAGGCUCUAGAGCACAGGCUCAGUAGUUGUGGCGCACUGGCUUAGCUGCUUCACGACAUGUGGGAUCUUCCCGGAGCAGGACUCGAACCCGUGUCCCCCACAUUGGCAGGCGGAUUCUUAACCACUGCGCAACAGGGAAGCCCUCAUUUCAUUUUUUUGAAAUUAAUUUAUUAUUUAUUUAUUAAUUUGUGGCUGCGUUGGGUCUUCGUUGCUGCACGGGCUUUCUCUAGUUGCAUGGAGUAGGGGCUACUCUUCUCUAGUUGCGUAGAGCAGGGGCUACUCUUCAGUGCGGUGCGCGGUCUUCUUAUUGUGGUGGCUUCUCUUGUGUGGUUGUGGAGCACGGGCUCUAGGCGCACGGCUUCAGUAGUUGUGGAGCACAGACUUAGUUGCCCCAAGGCAUGUGGGAUCUUCCUGGGUGUCCCCUGCAUUGUCAGGCAGAUUCUUAACCACUGCGUCAGCAGGGAAGUCUUGGCACCUCUUCACUUCUUUAAUGUGUGGAUGUCCUAGUAAAUAUGCAGCUGGCUGCCACUGAUGUACAUUACAGUGCUGUGUAGAUUUCUGUUUUGAA